Phyllostomus hastatus (greater spear-nosed bat) is the source of this 163-nucleotide small nuclear RNA. RefSeq annotates it as U1 spliceosomal RNA. Lineage: Eukaryota; Metazoa; Chordata; Mammalia; Chiroptera; Phyllostomidae. The transcript has a single exon. The record is from RefSeq and is a predicted model, not a curated record.
AAAAAGACCUGGCAGGGGAGAUACUGAUCCCAAAGGUGGUUUUCACAGGGAGAGGCUUAUCUGGAUGCACUCCGGAUGUGCUGACCCCUACGAUUUCCCCUAAUGUAGGAACCUCGGCUGCAUAAUUUGUGGUAGUGGGGGACAGCGUUGGGGCUUUCCCCUG